This 598-nucleotide long non-coding RNA is filed under the name Vigna radiata. Its description in RNAcentral is "long non-coding RNA (VRAD_LNC015592)". Lineage: Eukaryota; Viridiplantae; Streptophyta; Magnoliopsida; Fabales; Fabaceae. The record is from RNAcentral.
ACUUCCAAUGUCAUAUGCGGGGCCCAAGCCCAAUUUCAUUAAUUUAGUAAUUCUUUUACUUGUAUUAGACAUGUGUACAAUGUGUUAGGCACGUGGUACAUUUAGUUUUAUAUAUAGGCAUGCUAACACAUUUUGUAAGGACUUUUGANAUUAAUGAGAAUUUAGUUUUCUAAGUCAGAAAAUAAUUCUCCCUUGAAAGUCAUUGGCUAGAGAGUCCAAAGACCUCUAGCCNCCUUCCAAAGCACACUUCAUUAUUUCAUUGUUCCAAUUACUCCACCGUGCUUCUCACUCCUCCCCAUCCAUCAAUCCUCUAACGCCACUCGUUCCAAUACGAAGCUUCCGCGUUGUUCUACUCAUUACUGCCACACCAAAGUCUCCAUUCCAUGGUCAUUUUUGCAUUUCAUCAUCAGCCUCAUUCGAAGCCACAAAUCUCUCUCCGCUAGGGUUUCUCCCGACUCUAACACAGAGAACGAUCUUCAGCCACUGAUUCACGUCUUUCCACNGGUAAAUUUGUUUUUCUUGCCUAGAUCUACCUUAUCAUCACCCUUGCCUUCCGUUUAACCGAAUGUUUUUCAUCCUUUCCUUCCAUCUCACCGAU